Long non-coding RNA from Carassius gibelio (silver crucian carp), 2991 nucleotides. RefSeq lists it as uncharacterized. The transcript has 6 exons. NCBI's taxonomy places the organism in Eukaryota, Metazoa, Chordata, Actinopteri, Cypriniformes, Cyprinidae. The record is from RefSeq and is a predicted model, not a curated record.
UUGGACUGAAACUGUGUUUGUGUGAGGCUGUAUAGGCUGCUGCCUGAGCAGGAGAGGGAGAUUAAAAAAGACUGAUAGAGAGAGAGAGAGAGAGUAAGGGAGGGACUGAGAGAGAGGAAGGGGGAAAGAGAGCACCUGCAGCACUCAAAGCAGACAUUCAGUAGUGUGGAGGUUAAUUAACAGAAGGGGAAGCAAAAAGGUGAGAAGGUAUUAACAGCUCUCAGCAGACUGAACUUGAGCGGUAAAGUGAAGUUAGUGAGUGAACACAGGGGGCUGUCAAUGCAAGAAUGGUUUAAUAACUUCUGGACACCUGUUCUUCUGAACCAAAGAGCACUUUUGAACACAUCUUUUCAGGUCUACUUUGCUGUCUUUCGUUGGCACCUGUCAUGGCCGACCCUGCAUGGUGGAAGCUCACCUUCCUGAAGAAAAAGAAGUCAGAGUCGAAGGUCCAGUAUGAAAUGCCACCCGAUUUCAGCACCAACAAUGCAAACAAAGACCUGGGCAACGAUGAUGCAGACAGCAAUUUAGAUGCCAGACUGGAAAAAAUAGUGGAUAAAUCGAACACCAAGGGCCGUCACGUCAAAGUCUCCAAUUCUGGGCGGUUUAAGGAGAAGAAAAAGAUCCGUGCGACCCUGGCAGAAAACCCAAGCCUUUUCCCCGAACCUGCUCUGACUGACAAGAGCCAUGUGGAAAAAUAACAUCCAGACAAAGCACAAUGUUAGAUGCACAAACUCAUUUAUACUAAUUCUUCUUUGAAAGGCUGCAUGUGGAUCGGAGUUAAGACUGAUGCAGCGAAGAUACUGGAACAGAAAAUUAUUAUUUUUGCCAGCAGUACUUUAAUUGAAAUGCAACCCUGAGAUGAUUAUUAAGGACUGAAUGUUUCCUGUGAAUCAUAAACAGAAUAUUGUCAUGCUCAUAAAAUGCAUUAUCAUCAUUGUGGGAAAAACUUGACAAGAAAGGCACAGAAACUCUUCCAACUCUCAUUUAUAAAUCACACAAUCCGUUCAUUUUAAAAAUUCAUGUGGAGAGUUACACUAAUCUCAAACCUGUGGGAGACAGACUGUUGCUCAGAUUUGCAAUUGUAUGCGCCCUUUUGAUAAGCACUUGAUCACGUGUUUUUUCAUGUUGCUGUUUUUUGUGGUUGGACAACUCAGUUGUGCGUAGGACUUUAUCUCUGAUUUUAUCAUUUACCAUAAAAAGGGUUUAAAUUAGGGCAUGGAGAGUCAAAGUCACAGUGUGUUAGAGAUAAGUUCUCCAACUAUCACUACAGCUGUAAUUUGCCAUGUUUAAUCUGUACUUGUCAACUGUUUACUGCAGUCUUUAAGGAUUAUUGUUAAAAUAUGCAAAAUAAAGAUUUUUAUUGCAUUGCUUAGAUGUGUUAAAUUGUGGAGAAGUGCAAAAAGCUAAGCACAAAAGUUAUUUGAAUGCCACUGCCAUCUACUGGCAAAAUAAUUUCUAAAAAUAAAUUAUAAUUGCUGCAAAAUUUAAAGAGUUUAUUACUUUGUUUUACAUAUACAGAAAUUCACUAAUUCAUUGCAGAAUUACAGUCAAAUAUAAAAUUACUUUAAGCCCACAUUAAGUUUGGCACAUUUAGCACAGCAAUCUAAUUUCAAUAUUUCCCAUCUGUCUUGCUGAAUAUUUGCUGUGUCAUGAACACAUUUAAAGAUGUGCAAAACUUCAAAAAGAGCAACAUGCUAUUGUUGUUACAGAAGUCCAAAGUCUAUGUUCUCUGAAACUACAAUUAAGGCUGCAAGUAUAACUGUGCUUUUUUAAUUAUUAAUAAACAUUAGGCAUUCAACAGACUUUGCACCUCGUAAUAGAUUAAGAAUGUGUUGAGGUCAGUUUUGAAGGCUUACAAAUGCUGCACCGAAGCACCAUUUGUAAAGCAACAUGAUUUAUAUUCCUAAGAUCAUGUAUACAGUUAUCUCCAAAUAAAAUCUCCCUUUUUGUUUUGGUUUAGGAUACAGGAUAAUUAUGGAAUGAUAUCUUUACUAGUCAGUUAAUGUCCUGGUGGCAUUUUUAGUGACAGUCGCUGCUAUUUCAGUUAACAAAUAUUUUUCAUAGAUCGUGGUGAUACUUACUUGUCGGCUCGGUGUUACUGUGCUCUGCCUGCUAACAACAGCACCGAUCUGACUGCUUUUGGGUCUUGAGUGGAAAUAAUCACAUGAAAUCUCAUAUGGGAUUCUCUCUACAGUGCCUUCAAUGCGAAUCUAGGAUACAAAACAAUGAAAUACAAUGGGCAGCGUGAGAUGGCAGCGACCUUGUGUAGCAGGCUUCUCCCAAAAUCGGGCCAUUAAGCCAGAGUGUUCGUCAUUGAUCAAAAGCUGUCACUUGUCACAGAAAACCAGUAAACUUCCUCAAGCAGAAGCUGAUGGCUGUCACAGAACACAUUCCCCCCACACCUGCAGCUCCUCCUGCUGCUCUGGCUCCACGAAUCAGACUGACCGAAGAGGAAUGUGCUCUGGCAGUUUUGUUGAGAAGAGACCUAGAAACCUUGUUUAAGGGAUGUAAGAUGAUUGCUGUAGUUCAAAGCAAUGCAAUCAAUGCAGAGGACCUCAUGGUGCUGAAACACAAACUGAAAAGCCACAAUAUCAGUGUCAAGUUCUUCCCAAACCAGGGUUGUUUCUCAGUAACAGCAUUUACAGUAACAUGUUGCCUCUAUUUGUUGGCCAGACUGUGAUAUUUGCUGGUAAACAGCCAAAAGUUAAAGAGAUGCUGCAAGCGUUAAAACACAGUCCUCAGAUGGUGCUGUUAGGUGCUUGUAUAGAGAACACAUUGCUUUCGUAUCAGGGCAUUCUCAGUUACUCCAAACUCCCGUCUAUGAUCACUAUCCAGGGUGAUCUAGUUGGUGGUCUAACCAUGAUGACUUCACGGACUGUCUCGAUGCUACUUCACCAUCCAGCUCACCUUUCCGCCCUCCUUCAGCAGUAUGUCAAACAGCAAGGCUCUGGGGACUCCACAAAUGCUGUUACAGAUAAAGAUACAAUAAAG